RNAcentral lists this ribosomal RNA (492 nucleotides) under uncultured bacterium. Its description in RNAcentral is "partial 16S ribosomal RNA". It matches the Rfam family "Bacterial small subunit ribosomal RNA", at positions 29 to 507 of the family's 1533-position model. The record is from RNAcentral.
AGUGAACGCUGGCGGUAGGCCUAACACAUGCAGGUCGAACGGCAGCACAGUAAGAGCUUGCGCUUACGGGUGGCGAGUGGCGGACGGGUGAGGAAUACAUCGGAAUCUACUUUUUCGUAGGGGAUAACGUAGGGAAACUUACGCUAAUACCGCAUACGACCUACGGGGGAAAGCGGGGGAUCUUCGGACCUUGCGCGAUUGAAUGAGCCGAUGUGGGAUUAGCUAGUUGGCGGGGUAAAGGCCCACUAAGGCGACGAUCCGCAGCUGGUCGGGGAGGAUGGUAGCCCGCAUUGGAACUGGGCCACCCACAAGGCUCCUGCGGGACGCAGCAGUCGCGAACAGUGGACAGUGGGCGCAAGCAUGACCCAGCCAUACCGCGUGGGUGAAGAAGGCCUUCGGUUUGUAAAGCCCUUUUGUUGGGAAAGAAAAGCAUCAGCUUAAUACCCCGCUGUUCUGACGGUACCCAAUGAAUAAGCACCGGCUAACUUCGUG